UGGCAAACCUCCCAGGAGGCUGGGAAUAAGUGUCACAGAUGGGGAAGCAGAUUCUUGUAGAUUAAAAUGUUUUUCUGAGGUCGUCUGGUAAAACUGUGGUGGAGCUAAGACUGAUGUAGGAUUUCUGGAAUCCUAAACUUAAAGGGCAGAAUCACUGGUGCUGAAGAAGAUGUGCUUGAACUGAUGUUGAGAACAAAUCGGUGUUCUGUAGUUUAACUUCUUAUCAAAGGUCCAUGCUGUAAGGCAGUCUGCGUUGGAGGACAAUAUCUGAAGCAAACAUUCCACAGUGAAUAUUUUCAGAGGUUUGGACGUACUCCUUGAAAGACAGCAGUGGUUGCUCCAAGGCCUUCCACCCUCUGCACUGGAACUGCUCUACACACACAAUGAGGUCCAGAAACAUGGGGUUAGUUGAACGUGUUGGUUCCCAUAUGUCCACAACAUGGAGGGACCCACUGUCUGUCAUAUCUAUGACUCUGGAGAGCUUGUAUUAAUUAAGCACCUCUUCAUUACAGACACAAGAUUUUACUCUAAGGUCACUCUGAAGCUCCAGCAGCCACUCAAGUUUCCAUUCAGGCAGCCCUGUCUAUUGUUUCCCAUUGCUAUUUCAUCUCCAGUCCUGCCCAUGGGGUGAUGAGCAAGUGAUGGGAAGGAGGUGGGCAGCAGCAGCUCUGACAGAGCUGGACUUUCAUGUUGUUCCUCUGUAUUUGAUGGAGAACAGUCCAUCUCCCCUGCACAGUGAGGGAUGCACAAAGUGUCUGUAUUUGGAGGGAAAGGACGAAUUGUGCUGAUAUUGCCAACUGGCUCAUCACAUGUGAUUGGGAGGCUCUGAUGUAGUCAUUCUUUUCUACCACCCUCACUGACUCAGAUCUCCUGCUUGUCUCUGAUGGGACUGAGCCGUCUUGGCUCACUGUAUCCUGGGAACCAUCUGCAGGCCUGAAUCUCCUCUUCUUUUAUUAGUACUUCAGCACCUCCAUGGCAUUGUCCAUGUUAUGACAGAGCACUGGCUCAAAAUCUGAAGAAAUUCCUCUGUUUCAUUUAUCACCUCUCAGCAUGGCUAGACAAAUUGCUUCUUGUGGCACCCAUUGGGAUACAAGAAGGGAAAAAAUAGUGGUGCCAACACCCCCUUUUUCAGUUAUACAAAGAAGGAUUAAAACACUGCCUUAUCAACUUUUUCAUUUUUUAACUGUGGAAAUGUUGUAUUUCUUUUUUCCUCAGAGAAAAUGACUCCUUCCUUUUGACAUGGGAUUUUUUUGCAAGUUUACACAUUUCUUUUUGGCCUUACCACACUGUUCAUUUGUGCUCAUUGUGUAUUAAUGAAAAAUCUGAGAAGAUAAAAAUGAGUAUUAUUUGAAACAUUAAGAUUCUCCUGUUCAAAAGAGCCCUUCAUUUUGAAUUUUCCAGCUUUUCUUAUUUUUUAAAACACUCAAGAAUGACACAAGUUAGCCUACUGCAGAACAGAUAAAGUAUUUCUUCGAUACAAAGUGUGUUUUCCCACAUUUUGCAAAGAAACCGUCAGGUGGGUCUCUUUCUUCUUUCCUGUACUGUUUUUCUGUUUCUCAGAACCUCCGGGAAAUAAAAUCCCCAGUUUCCCAGAGCCUUUGCCACUGACACACACGUUUGCUGGACUGCAGUGCCUUUCAAGAUCUAUCUGAAAACUGCCUCUGUUUUGAACACUUGGUGGAUGCACUCCAGCCAACAUUAUGGCUUCUUGCCCAUCUCUCCCACCCCAGCCCCUUCAUCUGGCUUCUUCUUUGCUGUUGUUGCCACUCUGAAAGGGAGCUGCCCAAACGGCAGAUUUUCUGUCCUUUCUCCACAUCGCUUUGCUUGGAGCUAUGCUCUGUCAGGGUUGCUGCUGGCUAGAGUUCCCAGUCCCUUUGGUUUCACGUCUUUACCCCCCCACACAAUGGAAGGUGGAAAGUAUCUUGUAUUAUGUUCAGUAGGGUGGGGGG
Falco peregrinus (peregrine falcon) is the source of this 1949-nucleotide long non-coding RNA. RefSeq lists it as uncharacterized. The record is from RefSeq and is a predicted model, not a curated record. The transcript is spliced from 2 exons. Lineage: Eukaryota; Metazoa; Chordata; Aves; Falconiformes; Falconidae.